Molecule: ribosomal RNA, 531 nt
Filed under: uncultured bacterium
Lineage: Bacteria
Description: bacterial SSU rRNA
Rfam family: Bacterial small subunit ribosomal RNA
Source: RNAcentral
AAUAGAUACCCGGGUAGUCCAUGCCGUAAACGUUGGGCACUAGGUGUGGGGGCUCAUUCCACGAGUUCCGUGCCGCAGCAAACGCAUUAAGUGCCCCGCCUGGGGAGUACGGCCGCAAGGCUAAAACUCAAAGGAAUUGACGGGGGGCCCGCACAAGCGGCGGAGCAUGCGGAUUAAUUCGAUGCAACGCGAAGAACCUUACCAAGGCUUGACAUGCACGGGAAGCCACCAGAAAUGGUGGUCUCUUUGGACACUCGUGCACAGGUGGUGCAUGGUUGUCGUCAGCUCGUGUCGUGAGAUGUUGGGUUAAGUCCCGCAACGAGCGCAACCCUGUCCCAUGUUGCCAGCGGGUUAUGCCGGGGACUCAUGGGAGACUGCCGGGGUCGAACUCGGAGGAAGGUGGGGAUGACGUCAAAUCAUCAUGCCCCUUAUGUCUUGGGCUUCACGCAUGCUACAAUGGCCGGUACAAAGGGCUGCGAUACCGUAAGGUGGAGCGAAUCCCAAAAAGCCGGUCUCAGUUCGGAUUGGGGU